RNAcentral lists this ribosomal RNA (799 nucleotides) under uncultured bacterium. Its description in RNAcentral is "bacterial SSU rRNA". It matches the Rfam family "Bacterial small subunit ribosomal RNA", at positions 8 to 796 of the family's 1533-position model. The record is from RNAcentral.
AGAGUUUGAUCAUGGCUCAGAACGAACGCUGGCGGCGUGGAUAAGACAUGCAAGUCGAACGCUGAUUUGUGGGUAGCAAUAUUCGCAAGUCGGAGUGGCGCAAGGGUGUGUAACACGUGGGUAAUCUGCCAUGAAGUCUGGGAUAACUUGCUGAAAGGCGAGCUAAUACCGGAUGUGAAUGUAAAUUCAAAGUUGGGGACCGUAAGGCCUGACGCUUCAUGAUGAGCCCGCGGCCUAUCAGCUAGUUGGUGAGGUAACGGCUCACCAAGGCUAAGACGGGUAGCUGGUCUGAGAGGACGACCAGCCACACUGGAACUGAGACACGGUCCAGACACCUACGGGUGGCAGCAGUCGAGAAUUUUUCUCAAUGGGCGAAAGCCUGAAGGAGCGACGCCGCGUGGGGGAUGAAUGGCUUCGGCCCGUAAACCCCUGUCAUUUGUGAACAAAUUGUUUCACCUAACACGUGAAAUAUUAAUUGUAACGGAAGAGGAAGGGACGGCUAACUCUGUGCCAGCAGCCGCGGUAAUACAGAGGUCCCAAGCGUUGUUCGGAUUCACUGGGCGUAAAGGGUGCGUAGGCGGCCAAGUAAGUUUGAUGUGAAAUCCCGCAGCUCAACUGCGGAACUGCAUUGAAUACUAUUUGGCUCGAGGAAUGGAGGGGAGACUGGAAUUCUCGGUGUAGCAGUGAAAUGCGUAGAUAUCGAGAGGAACACCAGUGGCGAAGGCGAGUCUCUGGACAUUUCCUGACGCUCAGGCACGAAAGCCAGGGGAGCAAACGGGAUUAGAUACCCNNGUAGUCC